UNGAAACUGCCUGGUGCAGAUGCCAUGGUGA
This 31-nucleotide non-coding RNA is filed under the name Mus musculus (house mouse). Lineage: Eukaryota; Metazoa; Chordata; Mammalia; Rodentia; Muridae. The record is from RNAcentral.